This 29-nucleotide non-coding RNA is filed under the name Cricetulus griseus (Chinese hamster). Lineage: Eukaryota; Metazoa; Chordata; Mammalia; Rodentia; Cricetidae. The record is from RNAcentral.
GUAGAGCAUCAGACUUUUAAUCUGAGGGU